CUACGUAGGGGGCGAGCGUUGUCCGGAAUGAUUGGGCGUAAAGGGCGCGUAGGCGGCGCGGUAAGUCUGGAGUGAAAGUCCUGCUUUCAAGGUGGGAAUUGCUUUGGAUACUGUCGGGCUUGAGUGCAGGAGAGGUAAGUGGAAUUCCCAGUGUAGCGGUGUAAUGCGUAGAGAUUGGGAGGAACACCAGUGGCGAAGGCGACUUACUGGACUGUAACUGACGCUGAGGCGCGAAAGUGUGGGGAGCAAACAGGAUUAGAUACCCUGGUAGUCCACACUGUAAACGAUGAAUGCUAGGUGUAGGGGGUAUCGACCCCUUCUGUGCCGCAGUCAACACAAUAAGCAUUCCGCCUGGGGAGUACGGCCGCAAGGUUGAAACUCAAAUGAAUUGGCGGGG
Molecule: ribosomal RNA, 397 nt
Filed under: uncultured bacterium
Lineage: Bacteria
Description: partial 16S ribosomal RNA
Rfam family: Bacterial small subunit ribosomal RNA
Source: RNAcentral